GCAUCACAAUAAGCGGCGGAAGAGAAGCCAACAGGGGUUACCUCAGUAACGGCGGCGAGAGCGGUAACAACUCAAAAUUUAAAAUUUAAAUCUGGCUUCUUUCGAGUCCGAAUUGUAAUUUGUAGAAGAUGCUUCGGGUGUGGCCCCGGUCUAAGUUCCUUGGAACAGGACGUCAUAGAGGGUGAGAAUCCCGUAUGUGACCGGCUCCCCAUCCUCAUGUGAAGCUCCUUCGACGAGUCGAGUUGUUUGGGAAUGCAGCUCUAAAUGGGAGGUAAAUUUCUUCUAAAGCUAAAUAUUGGCCAGAGACCGAUAGCGCACAAGUAGAGUGAUCGAAAGAUGAAAAGCACUUUGGAAAGAGAGUUAAACAGUACGUGAAAUUGUUGAAAGGGAAGCGCUUGCAAUCAGACUUGCACUUGGUGUUCAUCAGGGUCUCGUACCCUGUGUACUUCAUCAAGUUCAGGCCAGCAUCAGUUUGAGUGGUUAGAUAAAGGCUUAGAGAAUGUGGCCCUCUUCGGGGGGUGUUAUAGCUCUAGGUGCAAUGUAGCCUACUUGGACUGAGGACCGCGCUUCGGCUAGGAUGCUGGCGUAAUGGUUGUAAGCGACCCGUCUUGAAACACGGACCAAGGAGUGUACCUAAUAUGCGAGUGUUUGGGUGUUAAACCCAUACGCGUAAUGAAAGUGAACGCUGGUGAGAACCCUUAAGGGUGCAUCAUCGACCGAUCUUGAUGUCUUCGGAUGGAUUUGAGUAAGAGCAUAUUGGGUGCGACCCGAAAGAUGGUGAUCUAUACGUGAAUAGGGUGAAGCCAGAGGAAACUCUGGUGGAGGCUCGCAGCGGUUCUGACGUGCAAAUCGAUCGUCAAAUUUGCGUAUAGGGGCGAAAGACUAAUCGAUCCAUCUAG
This 899-nucleotide ribosomal RNA is filed under the name Botrytis sp. RNAcentral describes it as "partial large subunit ribosomal RNA". It matches the Rfam family "Eukaryotic large subunit ribosomal RNA", at positions 38 to 947 of the family's 3401-position model. The record is from RNAcentral. Lineage: Eukaryota; Fungi; Ascomycota; Leotiomycetes; Helotiales; Sclerotiniaceae.